RNAcentral lists this ribosomal RNA (497 nucleotides) under uncultured bacterium. RNAcentral's name for it is "partial 16S ribosomal RNA". It matches the Rfam family "Bacterial small subunit ribosomal RNA", at positions 28 to 507 of the family's 1533-position model. The record is from RNAcentral.
GAUGAACGCUGGCGGCGUGCCUAAUACAUGCAAGUCGAGCGAACAGACGAGGAGCUUGCUCCUCUGACGUUAGCGGCGGACGGGUGAGUAACACGUGGAUAACCUACCUAUAAGACUGGUAUAACUUCGGGAAACCGGAGCUAAUACCGGAUAAUAUAUUGAACCGCAUGGUUCAAUAGUGAAAGACGGUUUUGCUGUCACUUAUAGAUGGAUCCGCGCCGCAUUAGCUAGUUGGUAAGGUAACGGCUUACCAAGGCAACGAUGCGUAGCCGACCUGAGAGGGUGAUCGGCCACACUGGAACUGAGACACGGUCCAGACUCCUACGGGAGGCAGCAGUAGGGAAUCUUCCGCAAUGGGCGAAAGCCUGACGGAGCAACGCCGCGUGAGUGAUGAAGGUCUUCGGAUCGUAAAAAUCUGUUAUUAGGGAAGAACAAAUGUGUAAGUAACUAUGCACGUCUUGACGGUACCUAAUCAGAAAGCCACGGCUAACUACGUG